RNAcentral lists this ribosomal RNA (400 nucleotides) under uncultured bacterium. RNAcentral's name for it is "bacterial SSU rRNA". It matches the Rfam family "Bacterial small subunit ribosomal RNA", at positions 355 to 765 of the family's 1533-position model. The record is from RNAcentral.
UUUGGAAUAUUGGACAAUGGGCGAAAGCCUGAUCCAGCGACGCCGCGUGGACGAAGAAGGCCUUCGGGUUGUAAAGUCCUUUUGCUAGGGAACAAUAUUUUGAGCGUACCUAGAGAAUAAGAGGUUGCUAACUCUGUGCCAGCAGCAGCGGUAAUACAGAGACCUCAAGCGUUAUCCGGAAUCAUUGGGCGUAAAGCGUACCGACAGGUGGUCAUGCAAGUCAGAGGUGAAAUCUCCGAGCUUAACUCGGAAUCUGUCCUUUGAAACUGCACGACUAGAGGGGCAAAGAGGAAGCUGGAACAAACGGUGUAGUAGUGAAAUGCGUUGAUAUCGUUUGGAACACCAAUAGCGAAGGCGGGCUUCUGGGUGCCACCUGACACUGCUAGGACGAAAGCGUGGG